This 408-nucleotide ribosomal RNA is filed under the name Triticum aestivum (bread wheat). RNAcentral describes it as "partial small subunit ribosomal RNA". Lineage: Eukaryota; Viridiplantae; Streptophyta; Magnoliopsida; Poales; Poaceae. The record is from RNAcentral.
AUGGGUAUUGGUGUCGUCGUUCGAAAUCACAGUGGGGACCUACUUGUUGCUUGCAACAAAGUGUUUCCUGGUAUUCCUGAACCAGAGCUUGCUGAGGCUCUUGCCAUUCGGCACGCCUUGAACAUCUGCCAAGCUGAAGGCUUCAUGCAUAUCAGUCUAGUGUCAGAUUGCCUCUCUAUGGUGAACAAGAUCAGGUCUCCUGGCCAAGAUCGUUCGAGUGUGGGCGCCGUUGUCUCCGACAUCAAGUCUCUGGUUAGUUUUACCCACUGUACUUUCUCACAUGUCAAGCGUGGACUGAAUGUAGCGGCACAUAAACUAGCACGGAGCUGUGAGCUAGCUGUAAACUGCUUUUACCGUGGUGUGGCUCCGGAUUGCAUCCGGGACGAACUGUAUUCUGAUGUUCCUUAA